RNAcentral lists this small RNA (29 nucleotides) under Arabidopsis thaliana (thale cress). RNAcentral's name for it is "ATSL145650". The record is from RNAcentral. Lineage: Eukaryota; Viridiplantae; Streptophyta; Magnoliopsida; Brassicales; Brassicaceae.
CUGUGAUUCUCUGUGUAAGCGAAAGAGCU